This 483-nucleotide ribosomal RNA is filed under the name uncultured bacterium. RNAcentral's name for it is "partial 16S ribosomal RNA". The stretch from base 19 to 362 matches the Rfam family "Bacterial small subunit ribosomal RNA", at positions 46 to 392 of the family's 1533-position model. The record is from RNAcentral.
AUUGAACGCUGGCGGCAGGCCUAACACAUGCAAGUCGAGCGGAUGAAGGGAGCUUGCUCCUGGAUUCAGCGGCGGACGGGUGAGUAAUGCCUAGGAAUCUGCCUGGUAGUGGGGGAUAACGUCCGGAAACGGGCGCUAAUACCGCAUACGUCCUGAGGGAGAAAGUGGGGGAUCUUCGGACCUCACGCUAUCAGAUGAGCCUAGGUCGGAUUAGCUAGUUGGUGGGGUAAAGGCCUACCAAGGCGACGAUCCGUAACUGGUCUGAGGGGAUGAUCAGUCACACGGAAAGGGAAAGAGGGGCCGGACACAGACGGGAGGGAGGAGGGGGGAAGGUGGAAAAAGGGGCGAAAGCGUGAACCAGCAAGGCAGGGGGGGUGAAGAAGGGCGGGGGUUUGGAAAGCAAUUUAAGUGGGGAGGAAGGGAAGGAAGUUAAAACCUGGGUGUUUGGAGGUAACAAAAAAAAAAAGAACGGGGAAAUUGGGG